GCGCCGGAAGCAUUGCGAGCGAUGUGUCAGGUUUCCAACCUGAAGAGGGCGGUGCAACUCCGACCCCGGCGCUCCA
This 76-nucleotide transfer RNA is filed under the name Thermoanaerobaculia bacterium. RNAcentral describes it as "tRNA-Gly". It matches the Rfam family "tRNA". Rfam says of the family: Transfer RNA (tRNA) molecules are approximately 80 nucleotides in length. Their secondary structure includes four short double-helical elements and three loops (D, anti-codon, and T loops). The record is from RNAcentral. Lineage: Bacteria; Pseudomonadati; Acidobacteriota; Thermoanaerobaculia.